AAUAAUAAGUACGCCUCCCCUCAAAUUCACGAUUGAAUCGAAAGUCAAACAAAAUGGCAGCAUUUAAAAUUAUUCAAACUUUAUUCAUUAUUGCGAUCUUAAACAUCGUUAUAAGUACAUGUGAUGUAACAUAUAUGAAGGACGAAGUAUACAGUUUUUCGGGUGAUAAGCAGUUCGAAUUUGGUUCUGGUAAUGACAAAUUUGAUGUUUCAUCGGGUGACAGAGCGGAUGAGUUCGAUGUCUUUUCGGGUGACAAACAGGAUUAUGAAGAGUCUUCAGU
Long non-coding RNA from Papilio machaon (common yellow swallowtail), 280 nucleotides. RefSeq lists it as uncharacterized. NCBI's taxonomy places the organism in Eukaryota, Metazoa, Arthropoda, Insecta, Lepidoptera, Papilionidae. The transcript is spliced from 7 exons. The record is from RefSeq and is a predicted model, not a curated record.